RNAcentral lists this ribosomal RNA (453 nucleotides) under uncultured bacterium. RNAcentral's name for it is "partial 16S ribosomal RNA". It matches the Rfam family "Bacterial small subunit ribosomal RNA", at positions 28 to 523 of the family's 1533-position model. The record is from RNAcentral.
GACGAACGCUGGCGGUGUGCUUCACACAUGCAAGUCGAACGAGGUAGCAAUACCUAGUGGCGGACGGGUGAGUAACGCGUGGGAAUCUGCCUUUAGAUGGGGGAUAACGGGCCGAAAGGUCCGCUAAUACCGCAUAUGCCGCAAGGUGAAAGGAGUAAUCCGUCUAAAGAUGAGCCCGCGUCCGAUUAGCGAGUUGGUAGAGUAAGAGCCUACCAAGGCGACGAUCGGUAGCUGGUCUGAGAGGAUGAUCAGCCACAAUGGGACUGAGACACGGCCCAUACUCCUACGGGAGGCAGCAGUGGGGAAUUUUACGCAAUGGGGGAAACCCUGACGUAGCGACACCGCGUGAGCGAAGAAGCCCUUUGGGGUGUAAAGCUCUGUCAGCUGGAACGAAAACAAUGACGGUACCAGCAGAGGAAGCAUCGGCUAACUACGUGCCAGCAGCCGCAGUAA